UACAGAGGGGGCAAGCGUUGUUCGGAAUUACUGGGCGUAAAGGGCGCGUAGGCGGCCUUCUAAGUCGAACGUGAAAUCCCCGGGCUCAACCCGGGAACUGCGUGCGAUACUGGAAGGCUUGAAUCCGGGAGAGGGAUGCGGAAUUCCAGGUGUAGCGGUGAAAUGCGUAGAUAUCUGGAGGAACACCGGUGGCGAAGGCGGCAUCCUGGACCGGUACUGACGCUGAGGCGCGAAAGCCAGGGGAGCAAACGGG
This 253-nucleotide ribosomal RNA is filed under the name uncultured bacterium. RNAcentral describes it as "partial 16S ribosomal RNA". It matches the Rfam family "Bacterial small subunit ribosomal RNA", at positions 524 to 776 of the family's 1533-position model. The record is from RNAcentral.